This 1070-nucleotide long non-coding RNA is filed under the name Junco hyemalis (dark-eyed junco). Its description in RNAcentral is "lncRNA (ENSJHYG00000012245.1)". The record is from RNAcentral. Lineage: Eukaryota; Metazoa; Chordata; Aves; Passeriformes; Passerellidae.
CUUGAAGAUUGUAAAGAUACUGUCAUCACUCAGAGCUGUGCAGGAAGGAAAGUUAGUGCAUGCAUUUGUCAGAGCUCAGCUGAGGUUGAAUGAAGUGAGACAGAGCAUGCCUGUAUUUUGCUGUAUGCAGCCUCCAAGUCCUGAUGUAGCCUUUAAAUACAAGCCUUGCUUUAACUUUUUGUCUAGAGUUCCUGCCUGUGCAGGAAGGGAUUGGCUGCAGCCAGCCAAUGUGCCCAGGCAAUGCUCUGGUCAUGAAAAGAGCUGAUAAUUCAUUGAAUCCAUGUCUGCUGGGAUGCCCAGGACUGGAUUUCUGCCUUGCAUCCAGCUCAGACCCUCUAACUCUGCAAGUGUUCCCAGGCUUUGGAAGAAUGAAUGACUGCUGGAGUGAGUUACAGCCCAUGAUUGUUUGUUGAUCCUGAACUGCUCCAGCUGUGUUCUCACUGUCCAGAUCCAGCUGAUCCCAUAGUCAGAGCCCACAGAUCAGGGAUUCGUGUACUCCAGCUGAUACACCUCUACCAAGCUCUCCUUCCAGCUGUGUCCUCUUCCACUGCUCCUAACAACAGCUUUGCUCAUUGGUGCCCAAGAGAAAAAGGGAACUUCAACCCAAAUGUAAGCAAACAGUAGGAAGGCCAGAAAAGGGGCCUGAGGACCAAAAACUGAGUUUUGGGGUCCAGGUUCCCCUGUAAGGAUGCAGGGGAAUAGGAGCAGCUCCAUAGGCUUCCCCCUGUCUACAGCAAUGGGUGGAAAUGCUUCAAAAGCACAUACGGACCAAACAGAAAAUUUAACAACUAGAAGAUCUCUCAAUGAGACAUAUAUACCAAGAAAACAGAUGGUUUUCAUCAGUUGUCUGCAGAGACAAAGAGCAAAUCUUCCAUGCCAACAUGGAAAAAUUUAUUAGCAAGUAUGAGCUGGGGCAAAAAAAUGAAGCCAAGAAUGUUACUAAGAAGCGUUGGAAGCAACUGAAGAGGAGGAUAAGAAAAGUAAAUAUUGAAUUCUUACACAAGGUCUUGAAGGUUGAAAAUGGUCUGAGAUUGAUGCCAGCAAUCAUCAACAGCAAGUUAAACCACUAG